AUGUCUAGGGAUUCACCGAGAGCGACAACAACCACCAUUGGCCUUCGUGGACUCCAUUGCUGCCCCAGUUUCGUUACCGGGUUUGCUUUGGCACAUAGAGUGCUUACAGAUCAAGCCCUCUACUUGGCUGCUUUGAGACAACGGCAUGUU
Long non-coding RNA from Lolium rigidum, 150 nucleotides. RefSeq lists it as uncharacterized. The record is from RefSeq and is a predicted model, not a curated record. The transcript has 3 exons. NCBI's taxonomy places the organism in Eukaryota, Viridiplantae, Streptophyta, Magnoliopsida, Poales, Poaceae.